GUCGGAGUGGCGGAAUUGGCAGACGCGCUAGCUUGAGGUGCUAGUGCCCACACCUACGGGCAUGCGGGUUCAAGUCCCGCCUCCGACACCA
Molecule: transfer RNA, 91 nt
Filed under: Eggerthellaceae bacterium
Lineage: Bacteria; Bacillati; Actinomycetota; Coriobacteriia; Eggerthellales; Eggerthellaceae
Also listed under: 2 other names
Description: tRNA-Leu
Rfam family: tRNA
About the family: Transfer RNA (tRNA) molecules are approximately 80 nucleotides in length. Their secondary structure includes four short double-helical elements and three loops (D, anti-codon, and T loops).
Source: RNAcentral